UGGGGAAUAUUGCACAAUGGGCGCAAGCCUGAUGCAGCGACGCCGCGUGAAGGAUGAAGGUUUUCGGAUCGUAAACUUCUAUCAGCAGGGAGGAACCAAAUGACGGUACCUGACUAAGAAGCCCCGGCUAACUACGUGCCAGCAGCCGCGGUAAUACGUAGGGGGCAAGCGUUAUCCGGAUUUACUGGGUGUAAAGGGUGCGUAGGUGGCAAUGCAAGUCAGAUGUGAAAUUUCGGGGCUCAACCCCGAAGCUGCAUCUGAAACUGCGUAGCUAGAGUGCAGGAGAGGAAAGCGGAAUUCCGAGUGUAGCGGUGAAAUGCGUAGAGAUUCGGAGGAACACCAGUAGCGAAGGCGGCUUUCUGGACUGUAACUGACACUGAGGCACGAAAGCGUGGGGAGCGAACA
This 405-nucleotide ribosomal RNA is filed under the name uncultured bacterium. RNAcentral's name for it is "bacterial SSU rRNA". It matches the Rfam family "Bacterial small subunit ribosomal RNA", at positions 355 to 774 of the family's 1533-position model. The record is from RNAcentral. RNAcentral also lists the same sequence under 1 other name.